Long non-coding RNA from Pezoporus occidentalis (night parrot), 535 nucleotides. RefSeq lists it as uncharacterized. The transcript has 3 exons. The record is from RefSeq and is a predicted model, not a curated record. Lineage: Eukaryota; Metazoa; Chordata; Aves; Psittaciformes; Psittacidae.
UCAAAAAGCCAUAAGAAAGCAGCAGUGAAGAGUUGUUUGACCUCUCUUCAGUCAUUGACAUAAAUGUCAUGUACUGUUGUUUGCUCACACAGGUACCUCUGCAUGCAUCAGCUUCUAUCCCUCAGUAUGAGGAGACUGCUUGCAAAACUGCAUCGAAGUUGUGAGGAGAGUGGAGAUUAAAGACUUGUAACAAUUGGAAUAUCCACCAGCCUAAUCAACAAGUUUAAUAAGUAAAAGCUGCUGCCCCACAUCUCCAACCAUCAGAGAAGGCAAAAUCGUAACAACAGAAGAAUGGUCUUGAGACUCCCAAGGUUCAUGAGAUUCAGUCUGUACUUGAGUGAAGCUUACCAAUGGACUGGAAAAAUUGCUCUGGACUGGUUUGGGUCCACAUGCUUCUCUGUUUAGAGUACAUGGCUACACCACGACCAGCCGUCGUGCUGCUGAUGCUACUGUGUGGUUCUUAGCGCUGCAGCCUUGAGUGAUGCCAGCAAGACCUGACAUCAGUCUUUUAUUGUAUUGAAGUCUGAUCAUGGUC